CCCCCCCCUCCCCCCAAAUAAAAAUAUGAAAAUCCUUUGCAGAAAUAAAAAUCAGAAAAAUAGAUAUUUUUGGACCAAAAUUUCAUCUAAUGAUUCCCAUUCUUCCCAAGUUUACUCAGGGGUUCAGACUUUGUGCAAAAACAAAAGAGAUAAAAGAAGAAAUCGGAUUGAAAUGAUGAAAUUCGUUAAGAUUAGCUACCUGGAAGAAGGAGAAGAGAGAAGGGGGGACUUGGGGGGACUAGUGGGCGAACUCACCGGGUUUGGGGCGAGUUCCGGCUAGUUUGGAGGGUGGGAGACGCAGACAGAGCUGGAGGUGGCAGAUUAAAGAGUUGGGUUGAGGAAGGGAUUGGGCUGCCCGAUUUUGGCAUUCUACUUGUGUAAUGAAG
RNAcentral lists this long non-coding RNA (386 nucleotides) under Nicotiana benthamiana. RNAcentral's name for it is "long non-coding RNA (NBEN_LNC010591)". Lineage: Eukaryota; Viridiplantae; Streptophyta; Magnoliopsida; Solanales; Solanaceae. The record is from RNAcentral.